RNAcentral lists this long non-coding RNA (229 nucleotides) under Ricinus communis (castor bean). RNAcentral's name for it is "long non-coding RNA (RCOM_LNC002128)". Lineage: Eukaryota; Viridiplantae; Streptophyta; Magnoliopsida; Malpighiales; Euphorbiaceae. The record is from RNAcentral.
UAAGCUACAGGUAUGUUAAUUAGUACAGACUCAGCCACGGACUCAAUCGGUCUAACCUUAACACAUGCUUUAAAGGUUCCUGCCACUUGUCUCUUACUGUCAUUGUAGGCUCUGAUAAUGGUAGAACUAGGUUCCAAAUCCUUUUGCUCAAGGCCAUACUUGACUAGAUACUUUAAUGGAGAAAUGUUAACGUUAGAACCAUCAUCAAUCAUCACAUAUCCGCUUUUCA